This is a long non-coding RNA of Vitis riparia (riverbank grape), 1256 nucleotides long. RefSeq lists it as uncharacterized. The transcript is spliced from 5 exons. The record is from RefSeq and is a predicted model, not a curated record. Lineage: Eukaryota; Viridiplantae; Streptophyta; Magnoliopsida; Vitales; Vitaceae.
GUGACUGUCAGAGUUUCUAAAAAUAGUAGCCCAUGAAGUGCAAUGCCAUCACUGGUGCUACAUAGUUUUGUUAUACAGUCAAAGAAAACCCACUAGGCCUUAACUGGGAAUGACACUUAAAAAUGUGGUUGUGAACAUGCAGUGACUAUCUUAUCAUUCUUUAAUAUCUUUCCUACUCACAAUUGAAGCACUUGCAGAGUUUAACAAUUCAUCUGCUGUUUGGCCUACAAAAAAAAAUAGUUUAUGAGCCUGUUUUGAUGCAUUUUUGUUGCCAGGUUUUUUGUUUCUAGCACUAAAAGAUUAAAAAAGAAAAAAAGAGAAAAAGGCAUGUUUUGUUGUUACAUUUUCAUUUUUCAUUUAUUUAGCAACAUUAUUUGGAAAUAUGAGUGAAUAGAGCAAGGCUGUUUUUUUGUAUUUGGGAAAAGAAGUUAUAACAAUUUGUUUGAGGGAGAAGAGAUCAAGCAGAAGCAAAAAGAGAUCAGAGAAGGAUAGAGGAAGCAAAUGGCAAGCUCACACGCUAUGUUGAUCUCCGACUAAUGAUGAUCUGAGAUUAUGAAGUGAGGGGAAGGCUGUGGCUGGCAGUGCCUCUUGUUGGUCUCUAGCUGAGGGUGAUAAAUGAAACCUAGACUAUCAUCAUGGCAUUUGUAUGGAAGGCCAUCUAGCUGAAUACCUCCAAGUUACCUAAUAAAUCUAAAUCCUGUUACUGAUAGAUCCAGAAGCUCCAAGGAUGAAUCAUCAUCUUCAAUCUUUGGUUCACAGAAUGGGUUCACCGGUUUUGGUACUGACAAAAGAGUCCCAUGCAAAAGCAGUAAAGAUGACCAACAGGAGAUGAAUGCUGAUUCCGCUCGUUCUUCCUUGAAAGAAGGUCUCUAGUUUCAAGCCUCUGCAAAUGCAAAUUGUAGCUGGGAUCCAGUGAGCAAGAACAAGUCGAGUGAUGAUGAGCUAGAAUGGAGCACACCGCUUACCUAAUUAAGGUUAGCUAUUCCCAAAUUCGUGGGCAUUUUAUCUUGCUGUCAAGGUCAUAAAACCCCCAUUUUAGACAUCUGUUAAGAGCUUCUCAGUUGCAAACAUGCUUUGUCCUCAUAAUCAGGGCAUCAAAAUUUCCCAAGAGGAGUAGGAAAACACUCAAAACACUUUUGCAACCAUUAUAACCAACAAGAAAAUCUCAUCUUCUAGAGGAGCUUGAUCAGAGGAAGUGACACUACCAGCAACUCUCUUCUCUGGAUAAAUCAUUAUGUGUAUGUUUGGUUUCCGGA